Molecule: long non-coding RNA, 2137 nt
Organism: Hipposideros armiger (great roundleaf bat)
Lineage: Eukaryota; Metazoa; Chordata; Mammalia; Chiroptera; Hipposideridae
Exons: 3
Source: RefSeq, a predicted model, not a curated record
GAAAUGUCCUCCGAACAACGCGGAUGAUGCACCGUGCACAGUGCCGGGAGACCAAGGGCUCGUCCCCUUGGUGUCCCUGCUGCUUAGACUGGCCACCCCUACGACUGGUCCAGGGCCGGAGAGAAGAUUGGGCUCACAGCCUCGGCGAGAGAGACUGAGGCCAUUCCUACCAUCCUGAUGCAGUCAGCAGGGCAGAACCGUCCUGGGAACCCAGCCUCCGUGUCCCCAGGCAAAGAGACCAUGUGGAAGAGAACCAAGGCCACGUUCCAGCGACAGCCCCCGCUGAGCCCUCCGCCAAAACCCAGCGCCGACUGCUGCCACGUGCCAGCCACCUCGGACACUCCAGCCCCAGUGUAGCUUCCACACAACCACAGCCCCGGCCAACACUGUGUGGAGCAAAACCACCGCACUGAGCCCAGCCGACCCACAACCAUGAGACAUAACAAGUGAUGGUGGUUAUUUUAAGCCAUGAAAUUUUGGUUGUCUUGCUAUGCAGAUAACAAGAUAAUAGAUAAAACAGCUUCUCCCCUUAGCAGCUGUGUGACUUUGGGCUUGCCACUUGGCCUCUCUAAACCUCAGUUUAUGCACGAGGUAACAAUGCCCAGAGUGGUGUGGGGAUUAAAGGAGAUGGCGUAUGAAAAGCACUGAGGACCCAGGUCUCACUAAUAACUAAUGUGUAUUGAGCACUUCCCCAGAGCCAGGGAGCGUGCUCAGUGCUUUGCACACAUCAUCUUAUUAAACCUCACGGCAGCCAUCCGAGGGACUCAAUUUUACAGAUGGGGAAGCAAGUUUCCCAAAUAAAUACUCCCAACGUACAGUGAGGGAACUAAGGUAUAGAGAAUAAGUAACUUGCCCAAAGUCUGUAGCUGAUAACAAGGGCCAGAAUUCAAAUCCAUACAGCAAACAUAGAAUCAAAGACAGCUAUCAUCAUCACCACCGGGAUCCCUAGCAUUAGCAUCACCUGCACCAUCACCACCUGCACCAUCACCUCAUCAGUACCAUCAUCAUCUCCAUCAUCCUUAUCACCACCAUCAUCAUCAACAUUAGGCUGGGUGUCCGCAGGACACUGGCUGGGCCUCUCUCAGCCUGGGAACACCAUGCCUUCCGAAGUGGGCUGGACCCUCAGCCAAGAGCGUGAGGUGCAUAAAGCUAUCCUCACUCUCUCUAGCCCCCUCCACAGGGGCCAGGACAGACAUGUGAGUCUCCACCCAACACACACCUCACCUCUGGGCAAGGCUCCCUGAACACCUGGGGACAGAAGCCAGGUUUUCAGCUUCUGGGCUUCCUUUCCCACACCUGAGCUCACCAGAGCCCACGAGGCUCAGGAAGGUGCCUCCGGCCCUUUGGACCCACCUGUCUCUCAGAUGGGCCCUGGACAAAGACAAAGCCACAUUUGACCAGCCCAGAGUCUCCAAUUAUUGGUUCUUCACGCAUGUUUCCCGAACCUCCACAGGGGACAUGUACUGUGCUGGUUUCUGGCCACUAUACAAACAACUAGAUGAGAAUGAGUUGGGAGUCAGACAGGCCUAGACCGAAGCAGACUCCUUUAAUUCCCAGGCAUGCGGCUAUGGGCAAGUCAUUUAGUUUGUCUGUGCCCCGUGGAACAGACAUACCCCUAAGUGUGUGCAGCCCCUUCAAAGUCACCUUCCAGGUCUUGUCUGCACACACCCCUGGGCAGGGUCUGGUGAGGACUGAACAGGGGGUCUGGCCUCCGGACCCUGUGGACUUGGGUGACCUGUACUCCAUCUCCAUGGCUAAUAGGAUGGGUAAGGUGCCUUCAGCCAUGAAAGAGCCUCCCCAAAUCCCUGGACCUUGCUUUCCCCUCCGGUCCCAGGUCUGAGCUGCUUCCAGGCUGAAGAGAAGGCGUGGCCUGUCAAUCAGGGAUCACUGGGAAAUAGCUUUUGUUCAACAGUGAUGCCUUUGCCCCAUGGCCACCUGCCCAGGCCAUUUAAAAUACAUAGGAGCCUGUCACACGACAUCUUAGUGUUGGGCUCCACAGCUACACUCAAAAUUAUUCCAUCUCUCAGGAUUCCGAAUGACAAUACUACCACCUCUCAACAGCCUACUAUGUCCCAGGCACAGCUCUAUGAACUUUCCAUAUGUGUGUUUCUUGAGCACCUACUAUAUGCCAGGCACU